CGGGCGCGGAGGCGGGACGGGCGCGGAGGCGGAGGGGCCCAGACAGGAAACUCGAGGAGGCUCGCACGGCCGGAGCCGGGAAGUGGCCUGGCCGGGUGAUAAGCUGGGGCAGCCGGACAGGGUCAGCUCCGGGCGAGCGAGCGAGCGAGCGGCCGGAAAGGAGGCGAGACUAGACGGGCAGCGCCCGCGGGUCCUCCCCACCCCAGCAGGCUGCGCACCGCACCGCACCGCACCGCACCGCACGGCUGCUCUCCCUUCCCGCGUUCUGCCUGCGGGUGCUGCAGCCUGGCCCCCUGAGAGCGCCUUGGCGUUUCUGCAGCGUGUCAGCGCCGGCUUGCCCCACUCCUGAGCGCCCGGCGCCUGCGACCCUGACGAGCUGAGGCUCUCUGGGAACGUGCGUGCCGUGCCAGGUGAACCGCCGGUCCCGGGAGCGGUCCCCUCCGAAGUACUCACCUCUAGGAAAGUCUGGGAAGCUAGAACUCAAAACUGAUUGGCUCUUCCCACGAGGGCUGGUUUCUGAAGCGCCCCUCGCCCAUUUGGUGCAAAAUCUGCAUAUGGAAAAUAUGGGGAGCAGAGGGAAGAAAGGUGAAGUAGAUGAGAGAAGAAAACUUCUAUAGCCUUCAAAGUAAAUGUCAAGUCCAUUGAGAACACUUCAUAACGGCCCCUCCCAGCCAGGAACUGGCUGGCUGAACAGACUCACAUUGUCUCCCUUGGUUCCUUGGCUUUCUGUUCAACACUGAGAAAUACUGCCACCAACGUUCCUCAUCAAGACAUGCCUUCUUAAAAUGCCCACAGAUUAUUCAAGACCUCCAAUCAUGGAAACCAGACACCAAGUGGAAGAGGAGGGUGUGCCGCUGGCCGCUGGUACAAAAUAAAACCAAAGGAGAGA
Molecule: long non-coding RNA, 889 nt
Filed under: Cricetulus griseus (Chinese hamster)
Lineage: Eukaryota; Metazoa; Chordata; Mammalia; Rodentia; Cricetidae
Description: lncRNA (ENSCGRG00015040941.1)
Source: RNAcentral